Molecule: ribosomal RNA, 497 nt
Filed under: uncultured bacterium
Lineage: Bacteria
Description: partial 16S ribosomal RNA
Rfam family: Bacterial small subunit ribosomal RNA
Source: RNAcentral
GAUGAACGCUGGCGGCGUGCCUAAUACAUGCAAGUCGAGCGAACAGACGAGGAGCUUGCUCCUCUGACGUUAGCGGCGGACGGGUGAGUAACACGUGGAUAACCUACCUAUAAGACUGGGAUAACUUCGGGAAACCGGAGCUAAUUCCGGAUAAUAUAUUGAACCGCAUGGUUCAAUAGUGAAAGACGGUUUUGCUGUCACUUAUAGAUGGAUCCGCGCCGCAUUAGCUAGUUGGUAAGGUAACGGCUUACCAAGGCAACGAUGCGUAGCUGACCUGAGAGGGUGAUCGGCCACACUGGAACUGAGACACGGUCCAGACUCCUACGGGAGGCAGCAGUAGGGAAUCUUCCGCAAUGGGCGAAAGCCUGACGGAGCAACGCCGCGUGAGUGAUGAAGGUCUUCGGAUCGUAAAACUCUGUUAUUAGGGAAGAACAAAUGUGUAAGUAACUAUGCACGUCUUGACGGUACCUAAUCAGAAAGCCACGGCUAACUACGUG